This 550-nucleotide ribosomal RNA is filed under the name uncultured fungus. Its description in RNAcentral is "SSU rRNA". It matches the Rfam family "Eukaryotic small subunit ribosomal RNA", at positions 20 to 575 of the family's 1831-position model. Lineage: Eukaryota; Fungi. The record is from RNAcentral.
GUAGUCAUAUGCUUGUCUCAAAGAUUAAGCCAUGCAUGUCUAAGUAUAAGCAAUUAUACCGCGAAACUGCGAAUGGCUCAUUAUAUAAGUUAUCGUUUAUUUGAUAGUACCUUACUACUUGGAUAACCGUGGUAAUUCUAGAGCUAAUACAUGCUAAAAAUCCCGACUUCGGAAGGGAUGUAUUUAUUAGAUUAAAAACCAAUGCCCUUCGGGGCUCACUGGUGAUUCAUGAUAACUCCUCGAAUCGCAUGGCCUUGUGCCGGCGAUGGUUCAUUCAAAUUUCUUCCCUAUCAACUUUCGAUGUUUGGGUAUUGGCCAAACAUGGUUGCAACGGGUAACGGAGGGUUAGGGCUCGACCCCGGAGAAGGAGCCUGAGAAACGGCUACUACAUCCAAGGAAGGCAGCAGGCGCGCAAAUUACCCAAUCCCGACACGGGGAGGUAGUGACAAUAAAUACUGAUACAGGGCUCUUUUGGGUCUUGUAAUUGGAAUGAGUACAAUUUAAAUCCCUUAACGAGGAACAAUGGAAGGCAAGUCUGGUGCCAGCAGCC